This 253-nucleotide ribosomal RNA is filed under the name uncultured bacterium. RNAcentral describes it as "partial 16S ribosomal RNA". It matches the Rfam family "Bacterial small subunit ribosomal RNA", at positions 524 to 776 of the family's 1533-position model. The record is from RNAcentral.
GACAGAGGGUGCGAACGUUGUUCGGAAUUACUGGGCGUAAAGCGCGUGUAGGCGGCAACGCAAGUCGGGCGUGAAAUCCCACGGCUCAACCGUGGAAGUGCACUCGAAACUGCGUAGCUAGAGUCCUGGAGAGGAAGGUGGAAUGCUUGGUGUAGAGGUGAAAUUCGUAGAUAUCAAGCGGAACACCGGUGGCGAAGGCGGCCUUCUGGACAGUGACUGACGCUGAGACGCGAAGGCGUGGGGAGCAAACAGG